This 460-nucleotide ribosomal RNA is filed under the name uncultured bacterium. RNAcentral's name for it is "SSU rRNA". It matches the Rfam family "Bacterial small subunit ribosomal RNA", at positions 26 to 518 of the family's 1533-position model. The record is from RNAcentral.
AGAAUCAACGCUGGCGGCGUGCCUAACACAUGCAAGUCGAACGAGAAAGUGGAGCAAUCCACGAGUAAAGUGGCGCACGGGUGAGUAACACGUGACUAACCUACCCUUGAGUGGGGGAUAACCUAGGGAAACCUGGGCUAAUACCGCAUAAUACCUUCGGGUCAAAGGAGCAAUUCGCUUAAGGAGGGGGUCGCGGCCGAUUAGUUAGUUGGCGGGGUAAUGGCCCACCAAGACUAUGAUCGGUAUCCGGCCUGAGAGGGCGCACGGACACACUGGAACUGAAACACGGUCCAGACUCCUACGGGAGGCAGCAGUGGGGAAUUUUGCGCAAUGGGGGAAACCCUGACGCAGCAACGCCGCGUGGAGGAUGAAGUCCCUUGGGACGUAAACUCCUUUCGAUCGGGACGAUAAUGACGGUACCGAGAGAAGAAGCCCCGGCUAACUUCGUGCCAGCAGCCGC